UACGAAGGGGGCUAGCGUUGCUCGGAAUCACUGGGCGUAAAGCGCACGUAGGCGGAUCUUUAAGUCAGGGGUGAAAUCCCGGAGCUCAACUCCGGAACUGCCUUUGAUACUGAGGGUCUUGAGUCCGGGAGAGGUGAGUGGAACUGCGAGUGUAGAGGUGAAAUUCGUAGAUAUUCGCAAGAACACCAGUGGCGAAGGCGGCUCACUGGCCCGGUACUGACGCUGAGGUGCGAAAGCGUGGGGAGCGAACAGG
RNAcentral lists this ribosomal RNA (253 nucleotides) under uncultured bacterium. RNAcentral's name for it is "partial 16S ribosomal RNA". It matches the Rfam family "Bacterial small subunit ribosomal RNA", at positions 524 to 776 of the family's 1533-position model. The record is from RNAcentral.